UAGGGUGAACCUGCGGAAGGAUCAUUACUGUGAUUUACUUUCUACACUGCGUGGGCGCAAACAACACAUAAACAUGUAUACCACUUCAAAAAGUUUUUAACACAAAACUUUCAACAACGGAUCUCUUGGUUCUCGCAUCGAUGAAGAGCGCAGCGAAAUGCGAUACCUAGUGUGAAUUGCAGCCAUCGUGAAUCAUCGAGUUCUUGAACGCACAUUGCGCCCGUCGGUAUUCCGGCGGGCAUGCCUGUCUGAGCGUCGUUUCCCUCUUAACCUUGCGGUUAGACCUGGCCCGGCCACCGGCCCCGCCGAAAAGAAACGUUGCGGGCCGAGCGAACUACAUCGGGACGCUUGGCCGCCGAGAACUUACAAAGCUCGACCUCAGAUCAGGUAGGAAUACCCGCUGAACUUAAGCAUAUCA
RNAcentral lists this ribosomal RNA (418 nucleotides) under [Candida] sp. L5-2. RNAcentral describes it as "eukaryotic LSU rRNA". The stretch from base 106 to 258 matches the Rfam family "5.8S ribosomal RNA". The record is from RNAcentral. Lineage: Eukaryota; Fungi; Ascomycota; Saccharomycetes; Saccharomycetales.